RNAcentral lists this ribosomal RNA (253 nucleotides) under uncultured bacterium. RNAcentral's name for it is "partial 16S ribosomal RNA". It matches the Rfam family "Bacterial small subunit ribosomal RNA", at positions 524 to 776 of the family's 1533-position model. The record is from RNAcentral.
UACAGAGGUCUCAACCGUUGUUCGGAUUCAUUGGGCGUAAAGGGUGCGUAGGCGGGCAGGUAAGUCCGUGGUGAAAUCUCUGAGCUUAACUCAGAAACUGCCAUGGAUACUAUUUGUCUUGAAUAUUGUGGAGGUAAGCGGAAUAUGUCAUGUAGCGGUGAAAUGCUUAGAUAUGACAUAGAACACCAAUUGCGAAGGCAGCUUACUACACAGUUAUUGACGCUGAGGCACGAAAGCGUGGGGAUCAAACAGG